RNAcentral lists this ribosomal RNA (403 nucleotides) under Cytobacillus horneckiae. Its description in RNAcentral is "bacterial SSU rRNA". It matches the Rfam family "Bacterial small subunit ribosomal RNA", at positions 1014 to 1417 of the family's 1533-position model. Lineage: Bacteria; Bacillati; Bacillota; Bacilli; Caryophanales; Bacillaceae. The record is from RNAcentral.
UCCCCUUCGGGGGACAGAGUGACAGGUGGUGCAUGGUUGUCGUCAGCUCGUGUCGUGAGAUGUUGGGUUAAGUCCCGCAACGAGCGCAACCCUUGAUCUUAGUUGCCAGCAUUCAGUUGGGCACUCUAAGGUGACUGCCGGUGACAAACCGGAGGAAGGUGGGGAUGACGUCAAAUCAUCAUGCCCCUUAUGACCUGGGCUACACACGUGCUACAAUGGAUGGUACAAAGGGCUGCAAGACCGCGAGGUUUAGCCAAUCCCAUAAAACCAUUCUCAGUUCGGAUUGCAGGCUGCAACUCGCCUGCAUGAAGCCGGAAUCGCUAGUAAUCGCGGAUCAGCAUGCCGCGGUGAAUACGUUCCCGGGCCUUGUACACACCGCCCGUCACACCACGAGAGUUUGUAA